Molecule: ribosomal RNA, 569 nt
Filed under: uncultured bacterium
Lineage: Bacteria
Description: bacterial SSU rRNA
Rfam family: Bacterial small subunit ribosomal RNA
Source: RNAcentral
GCAGCAGUGAGGAAUAUUGGUCAAUGGGCGGAAGCCUGAACCAGCCAUGCCGCGUGCGGGAAGAAGGCGCUACGCGUCGUAAACCGCUUUUGUCCGGGGGUAACCGNNGGGACGUGUCCCNNCCUGCAAGUACCGGACGAAUAAGGGUCGGCUAACUCCGUGCCAGCAGCCGCGGUAAUACGGAGGACCCGAGCGUUAUCCGGAUUCAUUGGGUUUAAAGGGUGCGCAGGCGGCCCGGUCAGUCAGCGGUGAAAUGCCCGCGCUUCACGCGGGAGCUGCCGUUGAUACUGCCGGGCUAGAAUCUCAGCGAGGCGGGCGGAAUGCGCGGUGUAGCGGUGAAAUGCAUAGAUAUCGCGCAGAACGCCGAUUGGGGAGCCAGCUCGCCAGCUGGGUAUUGACGCUGAGGCACGAAAGCGUGGGGAUCGAACAGGAUUAGAUACCCUGGUAGUCCACGCCGUAAACGAUGAUGGCUCGCUCUUGGCUGGAAACGGUCAGGGGCUUAGCGAAAGCGUUAAGCCAUCCACCUGGGGAGUACGCCGGCAACGGUGAAACUCAAAGGAAAUUGACGG